This 371-nucleotide long non-coding RNA is filed under the name Coturnix japonica (Japanese quail). Its description in RNAcentral is "lncRNA (ENSCJPG00005008923.1)". The record is from RNAcentral. Lineage: Eukaryota; Metazoa; Chordata; Aves; Galliformes; Phasianidae.
GUGACAGAACACUAGCAUAGUUCAGGAACAUUUCUGCAGGUCCAGCUAGAAGUAAAAGUGGCUGGCAGAGACUCCAUAACAAAAAAGAGCAGCAUGGUAGGCAAUGCAGUGGAAAGACAUUCACAUCCUAACAGAAUAUGCUGUGGGAGACAGAGCAGAAAGUCCUGCAACAAUCAAUCUACUCCUCUCCACUCAUCUACAAGAUAUUGGAUAACAUCAAGUUAUAUAGACAAAGUGGGAAUAAAGUGCAUUUAUCUGGUCAGUUCAAGGAUGGAGAGUUAAGGGAUUUUCCAUUUCCCUAAGCUGGUCACAAAAUCAGAACACGAUUAAAAUCCGAGGUAGAAUAAACUCCAAACAAACAAUACUUCCCA